AUGCCUCUGGAUUGUACCAGAAGGGAGACAGGGACCACUGAUAAGACACGGUAUAUGGUAUCAGUCAGACUUGGCUUCUCUCUCUCCUGCUUCAUCGGAGGCUGGACUCUCCUCGUUCUUGGUUUCUCCGUUUUCUGCAGGUACACACACUCCAGAUCGGUUCUAGGAAGAGUGGGUCACUUCCUCCACUUGUUCCUUUUUAUCUGUUGUACUGUGCAGCACAGUGGGGAUUCACAUCUGCCUCCCAGCUUCACCGUGAGCUGUCAACGGCAGGGAUUGGAACCUGAUUUAUCGCCAUCCCUGGUGCCAGUGCAAGGCUGGUGCAUGGCCAGCCCAGGAAGUGCCUGAGGGGUAAAAGAGUUUGAUUCCCCUGGUGGGGGAGGGGCCCACGCAGGGAGUUUUCUGAGUGGAUCCCCAUCCUUGCCUUGAGGGUUAUUGUAUUCCCUCUCAAUCCUCUCAGGAAAGAGACAAGACUGCUCCUCUCUGGGCAAAGAGAAGACAUAAGAAAGGAAGGUUCUCCCUGCUUCUGCAGCCUCUCUCAGACUGAACCUACUCAGUGAGUGUCAUUGAUGGCUGGCUGUAGUCUCAGACCACCCGGCAUCUUCCCUUCUUCCCAUCUGAGGACCCUCCCUUCAGCAAUCAUUCCAGGCGGUUCCAGGGCAAACCCCUGUCCUCAGCUCCCAGCACUGGUCCCCCUGACCGGGGAAGAGAGCUCCUUUCUCUCCCCACCUGUCUGGUUCACUGUCUAAACCUGGCAACCAGGCCGGGCACCUGCCUGAGCCCCAAGACUACCUGGACGUGGGUGAAUGGAGGACAGCACCACAAGGAUGCUGUUGGAGCUCCUGGAUCUAUUUUUUGGAAUAGAAGAUUUCCUUUCUUUUCUUGCUUAAGUUGAUGUCUUAGCUCAGGUGCCAUAAUAAAAUAACCAGGUGAUUCA
Molecule: long non-coding RNA, 937 nt
Filed under: Vulpes vulpes (red fox)
Lineage: Eukaryota; Metazoa; Chordata; Mammalia; Carnivora; Canidae
Description: lncRNA (ENSVVUG00000026943.1)
Source: RNAcentral